RNAcentral lists this long non-coding RNA (370 nucleotides) under Lathyrus oleraceus (garden pea). Its description in RNAcentral is "Pisum sativum (pea) long non-coding RNA (PSAT_LNC002432)". Lineage: Eukaryota; Viridiplantae; Streptophyta; Magnoliopsida; Fabales; Fabaceae. The record is from RNAcentral.
AGAGAACGAGUGGGGGAUGCGUGCUUAGUGUGUACUGAGUGUGAGGGAGAUUUUUAACUUAUUUUUUUUAUUUUAUUUUUCGGUGAGUGAGAGAUUGGAGAGAGAGCAAGGGAAAGACGUGUCUUUUCAAUUUCUUCUUUUUUUUUGUUUUUUUUCGUUUUCUUUUGUAGUCCUUUUUUUUUGUUUUUCUUAGAGUGUGUAGGCGAAGUGGUGAGAGAUACCGAGAGUUUUUCUUUUUCUUUUUAUCCUUCAGCCAGUUGGAAAAUGUGGAGAGAGAUAUCUCCAAAAGGAUUUGGUGGUUGCCCCCACCAUCCCACCUUUUUUUUCUUUGGAUAUCUUUUCAAAAUCCCAAAAGGUGAGUUGUUGCUAG